GCACCCAGUUCCAACACAGUUUUUCCUUCAUACGGCGGAAGCAGAGAGAGCACCUCAGGUCUCUCUUCUUUGUCGAGAUCCGCUGCUUUAGAGUCGAGCAUCAUGGCCUCGACAGUGAGUUCCGCAGUGUGCUCAAUCCAAUAACUCUUUUGAACCUCACGCUCUUGUCCUGAAGCAGCAGCCAUGGUUGAUUGAUGAUAAGAGAAAUGUGAUGUGAUGAUUUGGAAUGUUUGAAGAAGAGAAUGUUGAUUGGGAAUUAGUAUAUGGUAGAGAAAUAAAUUGCUAGAAACCCUCUAUGGCAAGACGAGAUCUAGAGAAGCUCCUGGAUCUACGGUUAUUGUUUCUACCUUUCUGCUGCAUCAAUCAGCUAGAAGUGAAAUUUGUUUUGUUUUUGUGAAAAAAAAAAUGCAAUCGAAACGAAAUGGCAAUGAAAAUGGGAAAACAGGGGACUGACUAUCAAUGAGUUGAUAUUACAGAAAGAGAGAGAAUCCCAG
RNAcentral lists this unclassified non-coding RNA (494 nucleotides) under Hevea brasiliensis (rubber tree). The record is from RNAcentral. Lineage: Eukaryota; Viridiplantae; Streptophyta; Magnoliopsida; Malpighiales; Euphorbiaceae.